ACAUUGGUCAUUAAGUGGUAGAAUACUUGUCUUCCAUGCAGGAGACCUGGAUUUGAUUCUCAAUCAAUGCA
RNAcentral lists this transfer RNA (71 nucleotides) under Loxodonta africana (African savanna elephant). It matches the Rfam family "tRNA". From Rfam's summary of the family: Transfer RNA (tRNA) molecules are approximately 80 nucleotides in length. Their secondary structure includes four short double-helical elements and three loops (D, anti-codon, and T loops). The record is from Rfam by way of RNAcentral. Lineage: Eukaryota; Metazoa; Chordata; Mammalia; Proboscidea; Elephantidae.